UUUACCUUUCUCUAUUUUCUGCUUUAGGGCUUCUCUGCUUUCCUCGGUUGGGUUUUCCUCGGUCAUCGUCGUUGUGUGCCUUUAUUUCUCUGGAUUUCUUCCUUUUUGUUUAAUGAUUUUUUUUUCUGGCGAGGCACGAUCUUGAUUUUUUGCGAUCAUUGUUUGCUGUUCUACUCUGUUUUUGGCUGCGAUCUGUGGGUUGCAUCGAUUUUGUUUCAAGCCUCUCUUUUGAGAGGAUCGGUGCAUAUUAAGAUUUUCGCUCGAAUUUGGGUGAUCUCUCUUUUGAGAGAAUCGGUGCAUGUUGAGCUUUUCCAAAUGCACAUAGCCUUUUAAAAAUACUGCUACCCUCUACAAAACAAGCCAGUAAAGCUCAAAUAUUGCAGACAGCAAAGAAGGUAGCAAUUGAAGAGUUGGCUUUUUUAGAUCCAAAUUUGUACAAGAUCAUCAAAAAUGUGGUUAUCAACUUUCUCCUGUCCCUUCUGCUGCACAAAGAACAUGGAAUCUUACUUUUGAACAGAUGUUACUUUCGCAUCUCUAAUCUAUAUGCAUCAACAACGUUUCUCUUAUUUUUUGGUAUGUAAAUAACUCUCUCUAAUCUAGGUUAGACAAUAUUUUUUGCAUGCAAUAGCCCAACAUUUCUAAUAUUUUGUAUGUAAAUGCCAGUCCUGAUCUGUUAUCUAGGUUGAACAAAUUUUUUUGCAUGUACAUAGGCCACCAUUUUCCAAUGCUCUGUCUAAAUGCUGGCAAAAAUGUGUAAUCUAGGUUUGACCAAUAUUUUAUGCAUGUACAUAGUCCAGCAUUUUCUAAUCUUUUGAGUACAAAUGCUGGUCCCAGAUGAAAAUUGGGUGAAAACAAUGAACCGCAGUGAAUGAUUACAGUGUUUUGUAUAUCUAAAUUUAUCUUAUUGUUUUCUUUGAUUA
This is a long non-coding RNA of Malus domestica (apple), 920 nucleotides long. RefSeq lists it as uncharacterized. The record is from RefSeq and is a predicted model, not a curated record. NCBI's taxonomy places the organism in Eukaryota, Viridiplantae, Streptophyta, Magnoliopsida, Rosales, Rosaceae.